CCCAGCAAGGAGCCUAAUGUUCUGAAGAAUCAUACAAUUUCUACAAGACAGGCUGCCUUAGCCCUGUUAUGGGCCACACGCUGGGCCCCAUGCUGGGAGACCUAGAUAGAUCCAAAUUCCUUACCUUUGCCUUUGUGAGUGAACAAAGUAUUACGAGCUUCUCUGGGCUGGCCGGGA
Molecule: long non-coding RNA, 177 nt
Organism: Psammomys obesus (fat sand rat)
Lineage: Eukaryota; Metazoa; Chordata; Mammalia; Rodentia; Muridae
Exons: 3
Source: RefSeq, a predicted model, not a curated record